RNAcentral lists this transfer RNA (77 nucleotides) under Plesiomonas shigelloides. RNAcentral's name for it is "tRNA-Val(gac)". It matches the Rfam family "tRNA". Rfam says of the family: Transfer RNA (tRNA) molecules are approximately 80 nucleotides in length. Their secondary structure includes four short double-helical elements and three loops (D, anti-codon, and T loops). The record is from RNAcentral. Lineage: Bacteria; Pseudomonadati; Pseudomonadota; Gammaproteobacteria; Enterobacterales; Enterobacteriaceae. RNAcentral also lists the same sequence under 5 other names.
ACACCCAUAGCUCAGUUGGUUAGAGCACUACCUUGACAUGGUAGGGGUCGGUGGUUCGAGUCCACUUGGGUGUACCA